UGAUCAUUUCUAAGAAGAUAGGGGGAGUAUGAGUUCAAACUUCAAAUUGGUUGUCAUCAUCAAAAAGGGGGAGAAUUUUAAGACAAGCUUCCUACAAAUUUUUGAUGAAGACAACAUAUCAAGCUCUCCAUAACAAAAGAAUGGAAAAAGAAGAUCACUUCAACAUUGCUUAAGUUUUUCAUGGAUCUAAUAAAGGUAUAUGAAAC
This 206-nucleotide long non-coding RNA is filed under the name Lathyrus oleraceus (garden pea). RNAcentral's name for it is "Pisum sativum (pea) long non-coding RNA (PSAT_LNC013055)". The record is from RNAcentral. Lineage: Eukaryota; Viridiplantae; Streptophyta; Magnoliopsida; Fabales; Fabaceae.